Ribosomal RNA from Callithrix jacchus (white-tufted-ear marmoset), 119 nucleotides. Lineage: Eukaryota; Metazoa; Chordata; Mammalia; Primates; Cebidae. The record is from Ensembl.
AUCUACGGCCAUACCACCCUGAACGUGCCCAAUCUUGUCUGAUCUCGGAAGGUAAGCAGGGUCGGGCCUGGUUAGUACUUGGAUGGAAGACUGCCUAGGAAUACUGGGUGCUGUAGGCU